UACGUAGGGUGCGAGCGUUAAUCGGAAUUACUGGGCGUAAAGGGCUCGUAGGCGGCCAACUAAGUCGGAUGUGAAAUCCCCAGGCUUAACCUGGGAACUGCAUCCGAUACUGGAUGGCUUGAAUCCGGGAGAGGGAUGCAGAAUUCCAGGUGUAGCGGUGAAAUGCGUAGAUAUCUGGAGGAAUACCGGUGGCGAAGGCGGCAUCCUGGACCGGCAUUGACGCUGAGGGAGCGAAAGCCAGGGGAGCAAACGGG
Molecule: ribosomal RNA, 254 nt
Filed under: uncultured bacterium
Lineage: Bacteria
Description: partial 16S ribosomal RNA
Rfam family: Bacterial small subunit ribosomal RNA
Source: RNAcentral